This 73-nucleotide transfer RNA is filed under the name Ovis aries (sheep). It matches the Rfam family "tRNA". From Rfam's summary of the family: Transfer RNA (tRNA) molecules are approximately 80 nucleotides in length. Lineage: Eukaryota; Metazoa; Chordata; Mammalia; Artiodactyla; Bovidae. The record is from Rfam by way of RNAcentral.
UGCCUGAUGGUCCAGUGGUCGGGACUCUGCGCUUUCACUGCCGAGAGCCUGGGUUCAAACCCUAGUCAGAAAA